This 95-nucleotide ribosomal RNA is filed under the name Burkholderia cepacia. RNAcentral's name for it is "16S rRNA. Bacterial SSU". It matches the Rfam family "Bacterial small subunit ribosomal RNA", at positions 1 to 91 of the family's 1533-position model. The record is from RNAcentral. Lineage: Bacteria; Pseudomonadati; Pseudomonadota; Betaproteobacteria; Burkholderiales; Burkholderiaceae.
UUAAACUGAAGAGUUUGAUCCUGGCUCAGAUUGAACGCUGGCGGCAUGCCUUACACAUGCAAGUCGAACGGCAGCACGGGUGCUUGCACCUGGUG